UAAAUUCUUUAUAUAUUUAAAUAAAUACAAAAGAAUGAUUAUAAAAAUAAAAAUAAAAGAGAACAUUAAUCGGCCAUCCGAAAUGUUCCGAUUAAUUUCAUCGCCAUGUUACUAUUAACAACUAAAUCAAUAAAGUAGUACUCAGUUGCUAGCUAGCUGCAACAAAAAAUUCAUUUGAGAUUAGGCUGCCGCAUUAAAUGGAAUCAUUUGGUCCGAUUGGUAGCCGUGGUGGAGCCAUAACUCGGCCUGCAAAGGCCUUCUGGUUGAUGCAAGGUGGGCCAUUACUUCCAGGAAUGUUGGUGCAGCCAUUGUGUUCAGAAGGAGUAGGUUCUCCCUUUUGGACAGACUGUAGGACAAGAUCAUACCGAUUUAGAACACGGCCGGAAGCCUCGUAUAGAUGAGUGCUUACAAGAAAAAUAACAGCUGCGGUGACAAGAAAAUGUAGAUUGCUCAUUUUGAUGUAUAUGGUAUCUAGCCCUGGAGUUUGAGGAAAUUAGAUUGUAAGGUAGGCCUAUUUAUAUGUGUUUAUCACAACUUGAAUGACUAGAAUACAUGGCUCUUGACUCAUGACCUGAAGAAAACCAUGGCUUACAAAUUGAAUCAAAGGAUUCAAUGUAAAAAAAAAAAAAAAGGAUGCAGGUCAAGUAGGAGGCGUCGUCACGUAACUAUAAAAUCAGAUAAAUCUGUUUUAAUUGGCAUGUGGAUUGGACUAUGGACUUUUGGGGUUUUCUUGGUCGGCUAUGCUUUCUCUUCUGAAGCUUUUUAACGUUCCCGGACUGGUGGAAAUAUCAGCAAAGUGACGACCAUCGUUCAUUGGCUUACAUAUAAAGAUAAAAAUUAUUAAAUGGAUACGAUUAUAUUCAUAGCUGCCUCAUUUUAUUAAGAAAUAUUAAUUAAGCGAAGACAAACUUGGUUGGGAUGAAGAUUCUGUUUGCAUGGCCCAUGGUAUCUGUACCGUUACUUCCUCAGCAGGCACUUUUGAAGGUGAGGAAUCUUAGGGGACACGUAACUACUAAGGUUUAAUUCUUUGAAUAUGUCUGAAAUUUGAGUCACAUGUUUUCAAAUUACACGAAAAUAUUUCUUUUCUGGGGAAAAUGGAAAUUCAGUCAGUCACCAUGAGGAAAGAGACAGUGAAGCUUCAGGAAAUGGGGGAUAAAAACGUCUGACUGCUUCAACAUUGUUUUAG
This 1186-nucleotide long non-coding RNA is filed under the name Gossypium barbadense (sea-island cotton). RNAcentral's name for it is "long non-coding RNA (GBAR_LNC006721)". The record is from RNAcentral. Lineage: Eukaryota; Viridiplantae; Streptophyta; Magnoliopsida; Malvales; Malvaceae.